GAUUCACGCUACCGAGACUGCAUUUAUUCUCGCGAUUCAGGCCAGUGCAGCUAUGCAAUUAACAAAAAGUCUUUCAAAGACUAGAGAAAAGUUCCACGCCACGAGAGAUAGUGAACAGAAACUGAACAGGGGAAACUGUCAUAUCGAAGGAAGCAUAUUCAAAUGAGGGGGAUUUUUUCCUGUACUUUGCUUGUAUAACUGCAAAAGGUUACUGAAAUGUUGUAAAACAAUGUUCAAGAAUCAUGCACAAGAGGAACUUAUCACCUUACUGUUUACAUAUAGUGUGCUAAAAGUGUCCUAGUGUGGCAGAAGUACACUGAAAUAUGUAGUCAUCAUACAUGGCUAAGUAUAAAAACAUAUUGUUAAAAUAUGAGAAGGUUGCUGACAUUUCAUUUUGGCAUUUUUAUAACCAACCUCAUUUUCUUUUUCAGCUUCAACAUCAACAAACAAAAUGGGUUCUCGCAGCUCUUCAUUCCUUGCAAUAACAUGAUCAUCUGCAUGUGGGGAUGAAAGCUGUAUCUCACCAGCUGAAUCUGCCUCUGUCUCCAUAACAACAUUCUUCCUAUUAAAUAAACAUGCUCAUAUUUGUACCCACACCUGACACAAGUUAAGUAACAGAGAACAGUAUUGAAAUAAAACGAGUUGAUUGGUGCAUUAGUAAUAUGUCAAGCCAGCAGGUUUAAAUUCCCAUCUGACACCAUUUAUCCCGACUUCUUUUUUUUAUAUUUAUCAGUCUCAUUUCUCCAAGACCAAAAUCAAAUUACUUCUUACUACAACUCGUUCAAAAUUACAUAAGUUUCCUUAUAUUUACUUAUUCAUAUCGGUGAAAAUAAAAGAUAUUACAGGAA
Molecule: non-coding RNA, 848 nt
Organism: Zootermopsis nevadensis
Lineage: Eukaryota; Metazoa; Arthropoda; Insecta; Blattodea; Termopsidae
Source: RefSeq, a predicted model, not a curated record